CGGCCCUGGGCCCGGCACGGGACGGGGAAAGAUAACCGCAAAAUGCGGUGCUGAUAACCGCACGCAUAGGCGAGAUAACGAGACUAACAGUUGAGAUAGGGACGGAUAGAACGAGAUUACUCUAGAUCUUGGAGCUGAUCAGCUGAUCACAAGAAUAUUUCGUGGAUUUCAGACCACGAUCUAAACAUUAUCCUAGUUUUCAUCGAUACUCAAAUCAAAGAAUACGAUCAAGUGAAAUAGAAAUCAGAUUUUAACAGGGAUUCAUAGAAAUUGAGUUUUUAAGUCCUUCCGUCGUCUCCCAUGGUUGUGAUGGAGGGUGGGCGUGGUUUGAUGGAGAGUGGGCGUGGUUGGUAUGAAGGGCAGGAACUGCAGGGUUUAAACCACGCCUCCUCCUCCCCCCACCCUGGACUAAACCAACAGACAGAUAGUCCACACACACAUCAACAUUUACAGGAGCCAGAUACAGAUGGGUACUUCAAGGAGAGGGCGGAUACAGAUCCAUACUUCAAGUCGAAUACGGCGGCUAGCCAAUACUUUAGCCAGGCAGCUGCCUUGCAAUCAGCUUACGGAAAUAUGUCACAAGGAAGGUCGGGUGGAGAAGGUCAGAUAUCUAGUAGAUCACAGUUCUACUCUCCUCUUCAUUCAAUGGCUUGGGGAGCUUUCUCCAGCAGCUCCUCAGCAACAUCAGCAGCUUCUAAACCUUAUUCUUCAUUUGGAUAUCCUCCUACUCCACCUAAGGAAUCUCCAGUGUUAUCCUCUACACCUACCUCUCUACCUUUAGAUACUACUUUAUAUAAACCUGCAGAGGAUCAGUUGGUGGAUGGUGGAGAUGACGCCCAUGGCCAACUUGAUUUAAAACCAAGUACAGAACAUCUAAUGCAGAUGGGACUAGGAUAUAAUAGGAAAAUGCAUGACGGUCCGUCCUCCUACCCUGGUCCACCUGAGUCUCCGGCAAGCUCAGGUUACUAUGGUUACAAUGGAUCAGUAUACUCGAAUUAUAGUUCUUCAUUAUUCCAAUCAAAGUACACUGACUCCUCAAAAUCUAAAAAUAAACCUAUUGCUGAGGGUAGAGAGUGUGUGAACUGUGGUGCAACAUCUACUCCGUUAUGGAGACGGGAUGGAAAUGGUCACUAUCUUUGCAAUGCCUGCGGUCUUUAUUACAAAAUGAAUGGACAGAACAGACCUCUUAUCAAGCCCAAAAGAAGAUUGUCAUCAGCAAGACGGGAGGGCACAAGUUGUGCAAACUGUAAAACAACGACAACAACUUUAUGGAGAAGGAAUCAGAACGGUGAACCUGUCUGUAAUGCCUGUGGUCUAUACUUCAAACUACAUAAUGUCGAGAGACCCUUGACAAUGAAGAAGGACGGUAUACAGACAAGAAACAGGAAACUGUCCGCGAAAUCGAAGAAGAAGCGCGCCGGUAUGGCAGAUUUCUUUAGAACAGGUUUAGAUGGAAGAUGGGGGAUGGGAAUGGGAUACUUUAGUUCUCCGAUGUCCGGAUACUAUCAUCAGAUGGCUCCCAUGUCUGGCAUGGCGAGCCAGUUCAUGAGCCCUAGCACUAUGUAUAUGGGUGGUAUGACCGGGAUGGGAAUGAGUGGGAUGAGUGGUAUGACCGGUAUGAGUGGGAUGAGCGGAAUGAGUGGGAUGCAGAGUAAUGGAGGUUUGAAUCUUGCCUCACACUCACUCACGCACUCACAUUCUCCGUUCUCAUUAGGGAAUACUGGAGUACAGUCUAGUAUAGAAUCCUCAAUGAUCGGAGCUACACCCUGCUGAUCCAUGAUCGUAGAUACUCCCUGUUGAUUCAUGAUCGUUAUUACUCCCUGCUGAUCCAUGAUCGUUAUUACUCCCUGUUGAUUCAUGAUCGUUAUUACUCCCUGUUGAUUGAUGAUCGGUGAUGCUCACUGUUUAUCACUGAUCGUUGCUGUUGCUACUCUUUGUUGAUAAAUAUAAUGAUAGAAACAAUUACUUUGUUGAUCAGUUUACAAUGAUCGGAGCUAUAUAUUAGUAAUCAAUGAGCUACCACUAUUGAUCAAUAUAAUGUGGAUUGGUAACCCCAAAUGAACAAUGAUCAUAGCUGCGAUCAAUAUUAUCGUUGCUGUAAUUUUAGUACUCAGUGCAAUGAUAGAAAUUACACCGUGCCGAUAAAUGCAAUCAACAUCGAGGUACAAACCCGUCGAUCAAUGAUAGGACAACCAAGAAAAUAUUUCCCCUUCCAGAAAUUAAAAGAAUACAUAUUGAUGAUCAUUUUAAUUAAUAUUUUUUAUAAAAUCAUUCUGCAAUUUCUUUGCGUCUAACAAGGCAACACUACGUCAUUAAUGACACUCGACAUUAUAGUUAAAAUUACAAAGUUCUCAAAACGGCAAACACUUUUAAAUAAGUUAGCUUUAAAAAUAGCCAACUGGCUUUCAUUGUAAGGGUAUAUAUGACUGCCAUCUUUGUUUACAUAAUCAAAUCGGAAAAAUCAAAAUUCUCAAAUUCCAAAUGAGAUUUGUAAAUGAAGGAAUUAUCAAUGUGCUCUUAGUUUUCAUACCUUGUGAUUUAUCAAUGCUGUAGUCAAUUAUCCCCUGUGAAAUAUGCAAAAUUUGCAACAAACUUGUUUAGCGACUGUGGUCGUCAAAAUAUAGUGGAAUAAAAUGACGACAAUUGCUCUUGAAACUUCUUUUGGGUUAAGAGUCGUUAGUUGCUUUCCAUUAUAUUUUAUGGACCACUGUAUUUGUUUCAAGUGACCGUUAUAAGUCUCUAUGUAUAGUCUAAUAUUCCUUUUGCAAUGCAAUUUUGAAAAAAAAAAUUAACGCUGUCUUUGACUCUAUCCUUUCAAACCAAUUUGACACUUUUUUGCAAAUUGUUUAACUAUGCCUGAACCCUACAGAUUGUUUGCAAUAUAUUGCAAUAAUAAACCCUGAAUAGUGAAUAUUCAGAGUUGGAAACUUUUGAAUGAAUGGAUCUAAUCUAAAUCGAUUCAAAUGUUAUUUCUAUCUAAAAGUUUCCAGCUUAUUCAGAAUAUUUAAUCCAAUGAUGUUUAAAGUGUUUAACCAAGUUUAGUUUAAAUAUUAUUAAUACUAGUAAUUAUUACAAUAUAUCUACCUUAUUUAUUUUGUAACU
RNAcentral lists this unclassified non-coding RNA (3102 nucleotides) under Eurytemora carolleeae. RNAcentral describes it as "gATA-binding factor C". Lineage: Eukaryota; Metazoa; Arthropoda; Copepoda; Calanoida; Temoridae. The record is from RNAcentral.